CAAUAGCGUAUAUUAAAGCUGUUGCGGUUAAAAAGCUCGUAGUUGGAUUUCUGUCAAGGACAACUGGUCCGCCCUCCGGGUGAGCACAUAGUUUGGUCUUGGCAUCUUGCUGGAAACUGUUGCUGCGCUUGGUUGUGUGGUGCAGCUUUCAGCACUUUCACUUUGAGGAAAUUGGAGUGUUUCAAGCAGGCACAUGCCUUUGGACACAGUAGCAUGGAAUAAUUAGAUUGGGCUUUUGCUCCAACUUGUUGGUUCCUGGAGCUGAGGUGAGAAUCAAUGGGGAUUGUUGGGGGCAUCCGAAUUUAGCCGUCAGAGGUGAAAUUCUUGGAUCUGCUAAAGACGGACAACUGCGAGAGCGUUUGCCCAGGAUGUUUUCAUUGA
This 381-nucleotide ribosomal RNA is filed under the name uncultured eukaryote. RNAcentral describes it as "partial 18S ribosomal RNA". It matches the Rfam family "Eukaryotic small subunit ribosomal RNA", at positions 592 to 976 of the family's 1831-position model. The record is from RNAcentral.